Long non-coding RNA from Myotis lucifugus (little brown bat), 826 nucleotides. RefSeq lists it as uncharacterized. NCBI's taxonomy places the organism in Eukaryota, Metazoa, Chordata, Mammalia, Chiroptera, Vespertilionidae. The record is from RefSeq and is a predicted model, not a curated record. The transcript is spliced from 5 exons.
UGACCUUCUCCUUGUCCGGGUUCUGGUCCUGAUAGAGCUUCAGGAUAAAGUCUCUGGCGGCUUUGACGUCUUGCUUCGGUCCUGGUUCCGAGCACAGUUAGAGGGAUAAAGAAGAAAGAUGCCACUCACCACCAGGACUGUUCACAGCGUCAGCCCUGGGACACCCAUUCUGUUGGGUGUGGCCUCCAGACUUUGUGUCAGAAGUCGGGGGACAAAGAGAGGAAGACUGGCUCUUCAGCAGGGCCACCACCUUUAGAAACGCCGGAGAGAAGGGGCCCAGCGCACCUGUGCACACCUCCCAUGCAGUUGAUACCGGUGUGCUGGCAAGGGGAUCGGGAUCUCUAAUGUAUGGCUCCCCACACUCCCCCCCUGGCAUACCUCAUUGUCACACUCAGCCAGGACCUGGUCGUAUUCACUCAGCGCAACCAAGAAUAUGAUGGAGGUGACGCUCUCAAAGCAGUGGAUCCACUUCCGCCUUUCAGAUCGCUGGCCACCCACAUCCACCAUCCUGUCCAACAGAAACACAGGAGUGAAAAGGGGUCCUGAGACUGAAAGGUUUGAGCACCACUGCUUUUGACAAUGAGGAACCACCAGGCGUUUCCCCGCAGAGGAGGACGGAGUGUCAAACGGAUACUCGAUGAUGCCAGUUGUGGGCACGCGAACACGAAGCACAUCUUGCUGCGUCGGCACAUAUGACGGCAAGGCGAUCCGGUCAAUAUCAGUCAGGUAACUGCAAUAUCAGAGAACAAGUUGCUGAGACUCAUUUUACAGAAUGGAGAAGUGUUCAUCCCACUCCAGGAAGUCACCCCAGCUCAGAGCCACCCCC